ACAGUGAAGGAACACCCUGAAAAAGGGGGCGGGAUCCCUGAGCUGCUGUGAACAGUAUUAUACAUCGGACUAUAAAAUCCUGGACAUUCUCAGCACCUCUAGGCAUGAGCAAAAGCCAACACAGAGUACGAUGAAGGGAUAGUGUAACUUAACCUUUGCAGCAGAGAGCACAGACACGGUGUAUGGGUGUGUACGAUGGGACCCUCCAUCACCAGUGACUUCCAGGGCAGCAGCAGGACAGCAGGGAGACCUGACUAGGAGCUGCGAGCAACCAGUGGGUAAAGGACACUGGGGCUGUACUCGCUGGUGGCUGGCACUGCCACCUCACACAGAAUUCCACAGCUUUUAGAGCCUGGAGCCGCUCCGCAGUCUGACAGCCGAGGGGAGCAGAGGCAUCAUCCACGGGCACCACCACAGCAUGUGGGCCGGGCAGCACAGCCCCCAGGCGGGCUCAGGUUUACAUGCGCUCACAACAGCAAAAUUUGGAACAAAAACAGUAUGAAAGAAACGGGAGAGAAAAUUCUGAGGGAAGCAGGCCAUGAGCAGCACACCUCACUGAUCCUGGGGGGACAGGCCGGAUGGAUCAUUCCCACGGAAAAGGCAGCAGUCGAUUUUCUAAAGAAAAGGAAAAAUAAAGUUAUGUUUGAGCUUUCUGGGUAAUAUUCAGCUCUUAUCCUCGACAACUGUUUUAGAAUUAUAUAUAAUGCAGAAUUAAUUAACUGCUCUUUCAGUAGGUGGAAAGUCACUGUUAAGACAAAACACAGUCACUAAAACGUUCCUGUAAGGAAUGUGGCUGCUUUGUCCAUCGUUUAUCAUUAGGGUGACUUCCUGGAGAACAUAUAGAUGCAAAACAUAUAUUGGUUUUCCACUUACAUUCCAAGAAUUUGUGACAAUGGGCUGCACUGACGUGCUGGAAGUCAGCAUUGUACCAGGGGAAGUUACUGCUGGGAAGUUCACAAUUUGGUUUCCCAGAAACUGGGCAGCAGCUUUAGACAGAAAUAUUGCAUUUGCACAUAUAUUUUUCAGAGCUAAGUGGCAAAAUGAAGCUGCUGUUUUAGUCAUUUUAACAUUGACUACAGGAAAAGAUUAUGGUUUCUCUAUCCAUUUCAGAUUGAAAGCCUGCAAUUAAUCUUUGGAAACCUUUUAUAUCCAUUAUUUCUAAGUGGUGCAAUGCUUUUGGCUAUAUUUAGGGCACUAUAUUUAUGGCCAUGUAAGGAUCUAUUUUGGGUGUAUUGGUGGGGCAUGUUGCUUUUGGCUAUAUUUAAACUGGAAGCAUUUUGUCAUUUUUUGUUGUCAAGCCAGAAUAUCUGAUAACAUAGCUGACAAGUAAAAAUCCUGGAUUAAUACAGUAAUUCUUGCAUCAUUCAUUCCUUAAUUAGUCUAGAAUUUACUGCACAAUUUGCCAUUGUUUAUUCAAUUACUAAAAUGCAGUUUAUUAAAAAUACUGGCUAUGGGACACAUUAAAAACAAAUGAGCUUAUCAGUUUCCACUAUCACAA
Molecule: long non-coding RNA, 1498 nt
Organism: Pipra filicauda (Wire-tailed manakin)
Lineage: Eukaryota; Metazoa; Chordata; Aves; Passeriformes; Pipridae
Exons: 3
Source: RefSeq, a predicted model, not a curated record